CUCUGAUCCUCACACAGCGGCAACUUCUCUCCCAUUUACUGGAUAAAGAUAAUUUAUACGAUAAGUUUAGCUGCUCUACAGUGGAAAACUCUACUCCUAAAUAUGAGGCAUGGAGUCUCCUCACAAAGAUAUUUAGAGAGGACAAGGUGGAAUUAAGAGUCUAGCGUUAGAAUGGCUCCAUGGACGGCUUUACUGGGCGAAUUUGAAGCUAAAAGGCAUUUACACUGGAGCUCCUGAUGGUAGUGCCGACAGCAAAGUCAUGUCCAAAAAUACAGACCCAACAGAUUUGGUCCUUCUCCCAACGAAAAGUUCUGUGUUUUGGAUUAACCGAGGCCCCAAUGAUGAAGUGACUUUUGAAAAAGCUGGGAUGGAUGGUUCUAUGCGCGCAACUCUGGUUAUUACCAAGAAGCAUUGCUUUGGAUGUGGUGGCCCUGCGUUUAUACUGGAUAAGCGAUUUUAAAAUGGUAAUGUCCCUUUACUUUAACUUUUUUUUUUUUUUUGACAAGGUAAUCACUGAUUUAUAGGG
Molecule: long non-coding RNA, 526 nt
Filed under: Astyanax mexicanus (Mexican tetra)
Lineage: Eukaryota; Metazoa; Chordata; Actinopteri; Characiformes; Acestrorhamphidae
Description: lncRNA (ENSAMXG00005011832.1)
Source: RNAcentral